Molecule: transfer RNA, 89 nt
Filed under: Haloarchaeobius sp. HME9146
Lineage: Archaea; Methanobacteriati; Methanobacteriota; Halobacteria; Halobacteriales; Halorubellaceae
Description: tRNA-OTHER
Rfam family: tRNA
About the family: Transfer RNA (tRNA) molecules are approximately 80 nucleotides in length. Their secondary structure includes four short double-helical elements and three loops (D, anti-codon, and T loops).
Source: RNAcentral
GGAAGGGUAGCUCAGGGGUAGAGCGCGUCGUGGCGUCGUCCACGACGGUCAGUGCAAGGCUUCGCGUGGUUCGAAUCCCGCCCCUUCCG